CUCGUUGCUACGGUUGGUGGAUCCGGGCCGCUGGGUUUUGUCAGACCUUUGUCCCAACCCAGUGGGUUUGAGCUGGACGGAGAGGACUACGGAAGUGAGAUCCAGACACCGUCGAUUCUUCAAGCCCCUUUAUCACAGCCCAUUUCAGCAAAUGUUUAUACACAUUUAUAGAAGCCUUUUUUUUUUUUUGAAGUAGAUCUACAAUGUUGUGGAUCCAUGUUGUGAGGACACUCAAGCAGCCCUGGGGAGAGGCUUGCAUGAAUAAUAACCAAGCCUCUUGCCAACAACCACCUCCAACUUGCCAGCCAUGUGUGUGAGCCAUCUUGGGAGUGUAUCCUCCAGCCUCAGUCAAACCUUCAGGUUCAGCUCCAGGGAGAAACCAGGAAUGCUGAGCAUGGUACAUCCUGAUGAAUCCAGAAUGCAGGACCAAAACGAGGGGCCGCUUUCCUCCAAAUGGUGAGGACAUCUUCUACAUGCCAGAAAGGCCAGCAAUACAUUCAUUUCAGAACCAGCAGAGCCCAAACAACAGUGGAGGCUCACCACAUUCUGGACUCUUUUUCUGGGCCUCCAGGAGCCUUCUAGCAGAUAACCAACUUUGAUAGUUCAAGGCCUGUCCUCUUGCUUUCUACAAGGUGUGAACUAAGGGCUGGAUUCCACACUUGGUGUCUAUAAACCCAUGGUACCCAGGUCCUAUUCCUGUGCUGUAGGAUCUUCCAGGAGCAGGUCUGCUACAAAGGAGGUGUGGUUCGCAUUUCAAUGCUGGGCUCAUUAGAGAGGUCAUCAAACAGAAUUUCCAUCAGAAGGUAGAUUACACGUCAACACCACAGAGGGUUUGCCCUUCCCAGGAAAAUCCAAAUGCUAUAACUUGUUCUUGAGACCCAAGGUUUCCCACAGUUUUGAAAUCUGAAAAGCUUUAUCCAGCAGACAUCCAUUAAGUGCCAACUGUAUGUCAGGGAAACACUGGAGACAAGAUCUUGGGCUCUGGUGGGAGAGACAGACAUAGACACUAACACAGUAGGAUAUUUUGAGUUCUACAAAGGAAGUGUGUGCAGAAUGACAUAAGAACCCGGGAGAAGCAGCAGACUCUGCCUUUGGCAAUCAUGGAAGGCUUCCCAGAGUAGGUGACAUUCAAUCUAUAGGAGGAGAUUACAAUUGAAGCAAAGGUCCAGGCCGGAGCUCAUACUUCCAAAUCCCCCUGAGGAGUCCAGAGUCCAGAACUUCAUCUCCCUGCUUCAGCCAUGGAAGCAGCAAAAGCUUCACACGCAACCAGCAUCUGGAUGGUACUAAUUACCUCCACGUUUAUGAAGUGCCUCAUUAAACUUGACUCAAACCAACAGCAUAGUUGGCUCCCUGGGUUAAAUCCACGCUAAAUAUUCAGUUACACACAGCACAAGCGAAUCAUAUUUGGUGGGGUUCCGUUCACUUGUCCUGUGAAGGUGGUUUUCCAGCUGAAUAAUGAUGCUGCCCUUUAAUUGCGUGCUGUCUUCCUCCUGGGGGACUUUAGGUGGGACCAUCUUCCCAGAGGGAGCCAGAAACUGGGUGUCGUCAUCUCCGUUUUAUAGUUGCAUGGACUCAGUAAAGAGAUCUGGCCCCAGCCGCAUAAACUGCAAUCUUACUCCUCCCUCGGAGCCCAGCUCAAAUUACCUCAUCUUAAAAGAUCUUUUGGUUCCCCCAUCAGAAUUUCCCUGCCAUACAUGACCCUGGAAGAAGCUGAGAGAAACGGCUGAGCGCUCACUGUGUACAGAGCUCUGUGACGGGGAGUUGACAGCAUUCACUCACUUGAUCUAACAACACUGAGGGUGUGUUCCCAUUUCACAGCUGAGGAGACUCAGGCACAGAGAAGCUGAGUAAUGGGUCUUGGAUUACACAACUAAUUAGUCAGGAUUCAAACCCAGGCCUCUAAGCCCAUUGUCUUAACCACACACAAUCCUGGCACAUUCAUUCAACAAGUAUUAAUUGAGCACCUAUGGUACACCCCGUGCUUGCCAGGAGUAUAGUACUUGCUAGGGAUGCAGUAGGGAAGGAAACAUGAUCUUUGCCCUAACAAAGAUUAUCGUCUAGCAGGGAAGACAGAUGUGAAACACUUCCACAAUCAUUUAAUUACACACCAGGCAUCAGUCAAUGUUAGCAGAAUUUAACUGAACUAGCUAAGACAUUAGCAGGGCAAGAAAAGAAAUCAGGUCUCUGGAUGGCUCUUUCUUGUCUGCAAUUCAGGAGUCAGUCAACUCUUCCUUUUUUCUUAGAUUCUGUAGCUAAGCAAUGCCUACAGAGGCCCACAAUUGCAUUGGGAGUUUCCAGAAACCACUUCCCUCUCUGAAUCACAGCUUUCCCAGCUGUAAAAUGGGGAUGAAAAUAGCAAAAGACUGGAAGUAAGCCAAAUAUCCAUCAACAGGGGGCCACUUAAAGAAGUGGUGGUACAUCUACACCCUGGAAUAUGCAGCUAUUAAAAAGCAUGAGGCAACUCUAAAUGCUGGACAAGGAUCGCUAAGACCUAGACCCCAGGGAGUCGUGUGACUUACUUUUUUUUGUCUUUUUUUUUUUUGGUCGCACCACAUGUGGGUUCUUAGUUCCCUGACCAGGGAUCGAACCCGUGGCCCCUGCAUUGGAAGCAUGGAGUCUUAACCACUGGACCACCAGGGAAGUCCAACUUACUCUUAAUGUGUGCCAUUUUGUACCUUUAGAAUUUUGCACUCUGUGCAUGUACCUUAUCAAAACAAAUUCAAGGACAUUUUAAUACAACAUUUUGAUGGGGAUAAAAAAGCAGUCAAAUAGCCAGGCUCACAUGGGCCCAUUGGUGGUAUUAUUGUUAGUUUCAAAGGAGAGGUUAGAUUUGGCAGCCCUUGGAAAAUCUAAAACAAUUAGAGCACAUGUUGCUCCUAAUGAGAUGAGGGAGGAAUAAGGGCCAAACGGAGAAGAAAGGAGGAGGAAAUGAGGAGAAAAACGAAGAGGCCAGGCAGAGGCCAACAGAGAAAAAAAUCCACAAUUACUUUAGUGCCGCCGAGACCCCAAGGCAGCUGUGCUACCUGCUUCUUUCUAGCCAGCUGCCAGGUUGCCAUGGUAAUGUAAUAGCCAGUGGUAAGCUUAUUUAUGAUUCUGAAAACAUUAAAAAAAAAAAAACCCACCAGCAAGCUGCAGAUAUGCAGCAGUGAGCAGAGAAGGUACCUGCAUGAGAGGAGGCGUCAAGGUGACCUUCCUGGAGCUUGAGGUCCCCCCUUGAAAACUGGUGGGGUCAGCCUAGAGCAGUGGGUUGCGAACCUGAGCGUGUAGCCAAAUCAUCUGGAAGGCCGGUUAAAAUGCUCCACCCAUCCCCGGAGAUUCAGAUUCAAUAGGUCUGGGCUGGGGCAUUUCGAACAAGUUCCCAGGAGGUAUGGAAACCGACGUUUGGGGACCACCACCCUAAUGAUCUCUAAAGGCCUCUCCAACUCGAGAUUCCAUGAGCUGUGGGCUCCAGCUCCCGCUCGCCCUGAAGUGGAUACUGCUUAAGUAUUUAGGGGUAAAGCACAUCCAGCCCCUCUAUCAGCUCCUCUAUUAACUAAGUAGUUACAACAUCCUGACAGAGGACCCAUGUGGGUUGUAAGGUAGCCCGAAGCACCUGGUGGGCCAAGGGCUUAGAGGGCAGUUUCCAAAGCCGAAGCCAGCACCGCAUACGAGCAAUUGCUUGGGAGGAUGGGCCAGCACUCCAGCUGUCUUUGCCAGAACUCUCUCAUGGGGCCAGUUAACUGGGUGUGAUGGCCAGCAGGUGCCACUGAGCCAGAGGAAAGGCGUCUGUCAGUCAGGACUGUGGCUGAGCAAGGGCCAGAGCUGGUGGGAGAGGAUUUGAAAAUGACAGAAGCCAAAUCUUCAGGCACUACCGCAGUGGGAUUCUGAUUCCCCACAGAAAUGGAGGCGAGUAGACAAAUCCAAACACCCAACCCCAUCCAACGCACACGGCAUCCCAAGUGAGAAAGUUCACGGCUGGGGCAGGAUGCAAUACUUGCGACGAGUCCCUUCAAAUUCAGGAUUUCUUGUACAUUCAACAAAUAUUUUUAGAGCACCAGUGUUGUGCCAGACACUCUGCUGGGCGCUGCACACGUGGGCAGUGGGCAAGAGUGGCCCCUGCCCUCAUGGAGCCUACAUUUAAGUCAAAGGAAACAGACGGUUCAGAGAAUCAGAUGGUUUAAUUGUGCUGUGGUUACAUAAGUGAAUGAUUUUGUACUUAGGAAAUAAUGCUUAAGUACAUAAGGGUAAAGGGGCAAGAUGUCUGCAACUUAUUCUCAAGAAGCUCAGAAAAAAAUAAUCAAUGUAUUAUCUAUACAUGUAUGAUUACAUUUAACACACACACGCACACGCACACACACAGAAAAUGAUACAGCAAAUGUGACAAAAUGUUAAUUGUUGAAUCUGGGCCAAAAAGUAUAUGGGAGGGAGUUCUUUGUAUCAUUCUUAUUUUUCUGAAAGCUUGAAAUUAUUUCAAAAUUAGAAAUUUAAAAAAAGAUCACAUUCUGAAAUUGCAACUUGUCCUUUCUCUUAGCAUUACAGAUUUUUCCAAAAGAACUUUUUUGUGUGGAAUAUUGAUGUGUGGAAGUGAAGGAGCUGGUCUGCUGAACCAGGAGUAGUUUGAGUUACUGAACUGUCAUUUUUGCACCUUUGAAUACUUUGCAGGCUGGCUUUGUAUAAACGUAUCCUCUGUUUUCCUAUAUGUUGUAAAUAUUUAGACCAUAAUUUCAUUAUAAAUAAGUGAAUAAACAAAAAAUUUUUUAAAGGCUCACAUAAAUACAUGACAAAUUAUAAA
Long non-coding RNA from Aethalodelphis obliquidens (Pacific white-sided dolphin), 4771 nucleotides. RefSeq lists it as uncharacterized. The record is from RefSeq and is a predicted model, not a curated record. Lineage: Eukaryota; Metazoa; Chordata; Mammalia; Artiodactyla; Delphinidae. The transcript has 3 exons.